RNAcentral lists this ribosomal RNA (253 nucleotides) under uncultured bacterium. RNAcentral describes it as "partial 16S ribosomal RNA". It matches the Rfam family "Bacterial small subunit ribosomal RNA", at positions 524 to 776 of the family's 1533-position model. The record is from RNAcentral.
UACGUAGGUGACAAGCGUUGUCCGGAUUUACUGGGCGUAAAGAGCGCGCAGGCGGUCGAUCAAGUCGAGUGUGAAAGCCCCCGGCUCAACUGGGGAGGGUCAUUCGAUACUGAUCGACUCGAAGGCAGGAGAGGGUAGUGGAAUUCCCCGUGUAGCGGUGAAAUGCGUAGAGAUGGGGGAGAACACUCGUGGCGAAGGCGGCCAGCUAGACCAGUUCUGACACUGAGGCGCGACAGCGUGGGGAGCAAACAGG